This 497-nucleotide ribosomal RNA is filed under the name uncultured archaeon. RNAcentral describes it as "bacterial SSU rRNA". It matches the Rfam family "Archaeal small subunit ribosomal RNA", at positions 857 to 1351 of the family's 1478-position model. The record is from RNAcentral.
UAAAGGAAUUGGCGGGGGAGCACCACAAGGGGUGAAGCCUGCGGUUUAAUUAGACUCAACGCUCGGAAACUUACCAGGGGCGACAGCUCAAUGACGGUCAGACUGACGAUCUUACCUGAGUAGCUGAGAGGAGGUGCAUGGCCGUCGCCAGUUCGUGCCGUGAGGUGUCCAGUUAAGUCUGGCAACGAACGAAACCCGCGCCACUAGUUGCCACCAGGCCCCACACGGGGUGCUGAGCACACUAGUGGGAUUGCCCCGGUUAACGCGGAUGAAAGUGCGGGCCACGGCAGGUCAGUAUGCCCCGAAUCCCCUGGGCCACACGCGGGCUGCAAUGGCGGGAACAAUGAGUUGCGACACCGAAAGGUGAAGCUAAUCUCCUAAAUCCCGUCUCAGUCGGGAUCGAGGGCUGCAACCCGCCCUCGUGAACAUGGAAUCCCUAGUAACCGCGUGUCAUCAUCGCGCGGUGAAUACGUCCCUGCUCCUUGCACACACCGCCA